RNAcentral lists this long non-coding RNA (4356 nucleotides) under Homo sapiens (human). RNAcentral describes it as "HSALNT0394413". Lineage: Eukaryota; Metazoa; Chordata; Mammalia; Primates; Hominidae. The record is from RNAcentral.
GCCCCAGCCUCCCAGAGUGCUGGGAUUACAGGCAUGAGCCACCACGCCUGGCCAAGACCAUAAAUCUUAAUUAAUCUAGUUCAUAGUCUCAAAUUCAUUCUACUCUCUGAUUUUUAUUUCUCCCAACUUACUGUGUGCACGCACCCCCCCUUUUUAAUGACAUUUCUCUGAUUUGCACUGCCAUCCUCUCUCCUACUUCAGUGAUCCAGCAUCCACAAUUCAUUUUGUCAUAGGUGAGGCUUACCUCUUUCCUGUCAGUUCUUCACCUGUACAGAUUGCUUCCUUUUCUCUUUUUGCACUUAUUGUUUGCAACACCCAAUGACUUCUUGUAGAGAGCCCAAUUCUGUAGUUGAUAAAACCCACACAUGCACGUAUGUUACAUCUGGCUCGGAAUUGGAAGCUCCAUGGAGAAAGGAAAUGGCUUUUGUUUCUUCAGUAUCUUCACACUCCCAAAUGUGCUGAUAUCUUUAGUCGUUCUUAGCUAAAUGAGUCAAUUGAAAUAAUAAUCUGGAGGGAUUUUUUUAAAUCUCAAAAAUUUUCUAAGUCCCAUGUCUCUUAAAUGAAAAAUUGUCAAAUGAAGGAGCCAUUUUCAGGAUUUUAAUUUAUGUAUUAAUGGUACUCUACUUCCACCCCAAAAGGAUUUAAGGUGAGCUUAAAAUAUUAUGAAAAUAAGAUAAGAUUAUUAAUUCCAUCCAUGCAAGCUCUAAAAUCUUCUAUUUCUAGAUACUAAUCUAAACAAUGAAGAGGUUAUUUUUUAAAGACAAAAGGUGUGCUUUAUAAUAUCUCUCAUUAUCAUGUUAAGAAAAAAAACCAAAAACACAGAUAAAAAAUUUCAGAAAUAUUUUUGCGUUUUCUUUGCAUAUCAUACACAUACACACACACACAUACAUACAUACACAGUCACACUAGAACUGUACUGGCAGUGAACAUAGGUUGUUUAAAGUAUAGCUAUUCAACUGUCAUAUAAAGUGAAAUCUAUAUUUUCUCUCUCCCUAUAUGACUAUAUAUUUAACAUCUCUAUGCAUAUGUGUGUGCAUACAUAUGUAUAUGUUAUAUACACACACUCCACAUUAUUAUUUCAAAGGGGAUUUUGCUCCUUCUGGCUACCAGCAAUAACUAGUCAAUAUUUACACUCUUGAAUAUCGAUGACAUCAUGCAUACACAGGAAAGCUGUGGAAAACAUCUCCAUUUUCAAACAGAGUUUUAAUUAUUUGUAAAGACUUCAAUUGUUCACUAAUGUCAUGGAUUGGUCCUCACAGUGUGAAGUGCAACUGCCCAGAUCCCCCACAGUAUUAUAAAUAGUCUUCUAAAGCCGGGUUGAUUGAUGUUUGGCAUAAAACUCUAUUCCUCUGAGCACAUAUAUUCCUUCUGUUCACUAUUUUCAUAGAAAAAUACCAGGGCUGAUUUUUUAUUCAAAUCUCCAAUUUAUGCAGGGUUUAAACUACUAAAUACUUAAAGCCGUUUUCAGAUCUUUCCCCCCUUUUCUGUUAGGUAGGUAACUAAAUCUUUGGCUUCAAUGCAAAUAAGAAUUGGAGAUUUAGCAGAUUCCUGUGGGGGAGAGGAAGAGUUUAUUAAUUAUAUUGAGAAUCAAAUAAUAUGCUUCUUUGACACUAAUGUUCCAUCUUUCUCCACCCCAAGUAUCCUAUGGGACAACUUUAAAGCCUUUAUCAGGGUCUAAAUUACUGCAUUUAUGGUUCCUUAGAAGUAGGAAUUUAAUGAAUGGCAUUCUGAGUUGAAGAGAGAAUUUGAAGGUUUAAGCUGCAACGGUGAAGCAAUUUUUUUCAAAGUAUGUGGCAGGGAUUGUAAUAUAAAACAUCAAAAAAAGCACAAUAAAAUACAUUUUCAUGAGUGUUAAUAAAUUUUUAAUACUGAUGAAAUGUAAAUUUUUCCUUCAUGACCCUUAUCUGCAUUUGACAGAGUCCAACAGAAAAUUUUAAGUACCUGUUUAAAGCAAUUUACAAGAUACUGUGGAGAUUCCCAGCAAUAAAGAAUGUACUAUAGUUAAGCUGGAAUCCAACUCCUGAAUUUCUGGAGCCCUGAAGACCACUUAGUCUUACUCACAAGAAUUGAAUGGAAUGUGAAUCUACACUCAGGUGAAGCCAGGGUAUUUUGAACGUCCCUACAAGACUGAAGCACCACUGGGAAAUAAGUAAUAGAGAUGCCAUCAUUGUGGAGGUCAUAAUGCUUGUCCUGAACACGAGGGGUCUCUAGUGAAAACAUUUGCUGACUGCUGUUCUAUCUAGGAUAUCAUCAGUGUGUAGAUGAUCAGAGUUCAUGUCAGUGUUCCUACAAGCCAAUGAAGAAAAACAGAGAUCUGUGUUCUGAAUGGAAAAAUUCCUACUGAUGCCAGUAAGUGAGCCAUCCAUCUAUGAUGUGUCUAUGGGGAAGAAAGUGACAUGAAUGAGUAAAAUAGAAUAUAUGCUUUAAAUCAUGAAAAUUGAGUCCAGAUGGAAAGGUUAGGAGGAAAUGGAGUGGAAAGGUGGAUGAAGAAGAGUGAGAACUCAUGCAGUCGUUGCGACUUGGUUGACACUUCCUUCCCUGUGACUACAAUUCCAAGUUCAGUACUCCUGAGCUUUUAUAGAUGGAUGAGAAUAUAGGGGGAAGAAACAAGAGGAAGGAGUUUUCUGAAAUCUCGGUGGAGAGGAGGGAGAAAAAAGAUGGGAAAAUGUUACAAGCAUUCUGUUCAUGUUGUAUCACUUAGUGCAGUCUUGUCUUCCCAGCCCACUAGUCUGGAACAAGUCAGUCUCAAACAUAACAACAGACACUGGGGAGCUCUCCAACAAAAGAUCACCUCCCAAAGAACAGGAUGGUGUCGAAGACUGAAUGCCAGCCUGAGGAAACAGAAAUACUACAGAAGCACGCCAGAGCCUGCAGUGUCUCCUCGCUGCCUCUCAAUGAACUGCUAAAAGACCAAGAACUCUGCUGAGAGAUAAGAAGAGGGGAGGGUGUGCUGCAGGUGGUGCUGGGAGGCCCAGACCUUCUCCUGACAUCUGGGGCUGGCUACAGGAAACAGAAACAUCACCCAGGCCUUGGCGCGAGACAGGACAGAGGCAGAUUGUGACUCAGAUCUGCAGGUGGAAAGUGGGCCUUUCGUUUUCUCCUAGGGGUAGAGCAAAGCCAGAGGGCUCAGUCAGAGGAAACCUAAGGCAGUUCAUGAUCCCUUCAACUUUAUACCAUUUCCUCAAAACUGCCUCCAAACAGUGGGCAACUGGAAAGGUGGUCUGACCUCCAGUGAUCACACAGUAUGCAUUAUAACAGAAGGCUGUCACUGUCAAUUGCAUGGCUCCCUCACUAUGCAUUCCUUCUAUCAAUUUACGACAACACACUGUAGUGAGUACCUGCACAUUGCUGGGUAUUUUGGCAGACAUUGAUAGUAGAUGAAUAACACCUGGUACUUGACCUUGAGACGCUCACUGCCUAGUGUGGGGAACCAAUGGUUGCAAUAUAAAGUAUUAACUAGAGGGAUAGAGGACUGCCUGAGGAUCUCUGCACUCAGAGGAAGGGCCAUGAGAUCAGCCAGGACAGUAGGGAGGCAGUGACUCAUGAAAUUAGCAAGUGGUGAGAAGAGGGCAGUAGAUUCAGCGGCUGCUAAAAAAGGUUACUGAACUUUUUGUUUCAUCAAUGCCAAGAAAUUAAUCUGUUUUAGCCUCUUUCAUGGCCUCUGUUUGAAAUUUUUUAACUUUUUUUUUUUUUUUAGAUUUAGGGGUACAAGGACAGUUGUAUUGCAUGAGUAUAUCAUAUAGUGGUGAAGCCUGGGCUUUAAGUGCACCUAUCACCCGAAUAGCGUACAUUGUACCCACUAGGUAGUAUUUCAUUUCUCACCCUUCUUCCACCUUUUGGAAUCUCCAGUGUUUGUUGUUCUACUCUGUAUGCCCAUGUGUACUCAUUGUUUCACUCCCACUUAUAAGUGAGAACAUGUGCUUUUGACUUUCUGUUUCUGAGUUGUUUCACUUAGGAUAAUGCAUGUUCCUGUUUUGAUUCAGUCAAAAUCCUGGGGUCAGCACUGACAAUGUGAUUAACCCCUGUCCUAAAUUCACUGCAGAGGAACUGCUCCCAUAUGACUACUUAUUACCACCCAAGCCAGAAACCACAAAGAUAUUCUGACCUCUCCUCCUUCACUCCCCACCAACUGGUGAGUAAGCUAGUCACCAAGUCUUGAUUCUACUUGCAAACAUCUUUGGAAGGGAUCUCUCACUCCACACAGUCUCUGUCAUUGCCAAGUAUACCCAUUACCUCUGCUCUGUCCUACGGCUCAUCAUUCCUCAUCUACAUGCUGCACCAACCUCCUAACUCCCAUUCCUCCCCCUCCUAGUUCACUGCCAUAGCGUAAUCUUUCUAUAUCACGGAUCAUAUUGU